AUUGAACGCUGGCGGCAUGCCUUACACAUGCAAGUCGAACGGCAGCACGGGUGCUUGCACCUGGUGGCGAGUGGCGAACGGGUGAGUAAUACAUCGGAACAUGUCCUGUAGUGGGGGAUAGCCCGGCGAAAGCCGGAUUAAUACCGCAUACGAUCUACGGAUGAAAGCGGGGGACCUUCGGGCCUCGCGCUAUAGGGUUGGCCGGUGGCUGAUUAGCUAGUUUGUGGGGUAAAGGCCUACCAAGGCGACGAUCAGUAGCUGGUCUGAGAGGACGACCAGCCACACUGGGACUGAGACGCGGCCCAGACUCCGACGGGAGGCAGCAGUGGGGAAUGGUGGAAAAUGGGGGGAAGCCUGAUCCAGCAAUGCCGCGUGUGUGAAGAAGGCCUUCGGGUUGGAAAGCAGUUUUGUCCGGAAAGAAAUCCUUGGCCCUAAUACGGUCGGGGGAUGACGGUACCGGAAGAAGAAGCACCGGCUAACUACGUG
Molecule: ribosomal RNA, 486 nt
Filed under: uncultured bacterium
Lineage: Bacteria
Description: partial 16S ribosomal RNA
Rfam family: Bacterial small subunit ribosomal RNA
Source: RNAcentral